This 251-nucleotide ribosomal RNA is filed under the name uncultured bacterium. RNAcentral's name for it is "partial 16S ribosomal RNA". It matches the Rfam family "Bacterial small subunit ribosomal RNA", at positions 524 to 776 of the family's 1533-position model. The record is from RNAcentral.
UACGGAGGGGUUAGCGUUGAUCGGAAUUACUGGGCGUAAAGCGCGCGUAGGCGGAUUGGAAAGUUGGGGUGAAAUCCCGGGGCUCAACCCCGGAACUGCCUCCAGAACUUCCAGUCUGGAGUUCGAGAGAGGUGAGUGGAAUUCCGAGUGUAGAAGUGAAAUUCGUAGAUAUUCGGAGGAACACCAGUGGCGAAGGCGGCUCACUGGCUCGAUACCGACGCUGAGGUACGAAAGCAUGGGGAGCAAACAGG